GUCCUCCCGUACUCUGUUCUCAAAAGUAGAGGGUGAACCUCAAGGCUCACAGCGGAAGCAUUUCUUGUGUGAGAGGGUUGAGUGGUCUUCUUGCCUCUGCAGUACUCAUCUCUGGUUCAGCAGGAGAGGAAAACUGUGUGUUGUUUACUGCUUGGGUAGAUAUUUAGAUCAGAAAGGAAAAGGGUUUUGUACGGGUCGUGUUUGUGUCGGUGACCGCAACCCAAGGAUCUAUUUAUUACGCCGUUUUUCAUCCUAGGUCUGAGCUUUUGCUUACCGAGAGGAGGAGGAUCUUUGAUUUAAUGACAGGCACGGUUCUUUGGAUGUAAUUCUUUGCUUGAACACGACGCAUUACUCACUGUCCUUGACAAUUAAUUGCGCCAUGGAGCUGCAACUACUCUACUAGAACGGAAAGACAAUCCAAGCAGACAAUAUAAAUAAUCUGUGGGCCUGUAACCAACAACAGAUAAUUGCCUAGCGGGAACAGUACUGGAUAUACGUAUUUGAUUCACAUCGCUUUCAGCGAUAAAAAGGUUAACUGUGUCAAGUGCAUCAUCUCGGCCGUCAGUGUUACUUCGAAACGACCCAAGUUUUGCUGUCAGGUGAGCACCAUUUAAGACA
Long non-coding RNA from Aplysia californica (California sea hare), 618 nucleotides. RefSeq lists it as uncharacterized. The transcript has 3 exons. The record is from RefSeq and is a predicted model, not a curated record. NCBI's taxonomy places the organism in Eukaryota, Metazoa, Mollusca, Gastropoda, Aplysiida, Aplysiidae.